Molecule: long non-coding RNA, 2704 nt
Organism: Astyanax mexicanus (Mexican tetra)
Lineage: Eukaryota; Metazoa; Chordata; Actinopteri; Characiformes; Acestrorhamphidae
Exons: 5
Source: RefSeq, a predicted model, not a curated record
AGACGUCCUUUUCUCCGGGAGCUGCAUGGGGACUGCAGGAGUCCAAAGCCUCGCUGUGUUUUAUGGGGAACAGUUAUUAAUAUUGGGUCAAAUAAUCCAGUAUUUCUUCACUCUGGUGCUGAAGGUCCGCUGCGCUGCUCUUUACUCUGUUUUCAUUUAAAGCCCCUCAGUCUUAAAACAGCGGCACUAGCGGGCCUCCAGCACCGAUAGUGAUUAUUACCCUGCCGGAUUAGAUUAGAGCAGCGCGGCGGAGCUCUGUAAGUCCCGGUGACGCUGCAACUGGAUUUUAUAAAGAUACGAGAAAAGAAUGCUUUCGUCGUGGAUUUAACAUGAAAAGGCCCAGUUCCAAAAGACACAACAUCCUCAGUGUCCUGGAGCUCCAGCUGAAGCACUGGCCACUCCACCUUCUCCAUCCCCACCCAAAAGAGGUACUUCUAAGGCAGCUAGUUGAAGGCGUGAUUGAGGUCCAUGCCAGAGGGGUUCUGCACUGUGACCUCAAGCCAUAGAACAUCCUGUUUCAGAUGUACAGUUAGGAACCACGCCUUCAUCUUCUGUUCUUCUGGACCUUCCUCAUGAGUGGUUUACCCAUGAGGCCAAAUCCUCCACAGUGUUGCAGAUAGGAAUCAUCCUGCUGUGUGUGAGAGGUGACCCUUCAACACCAGCACGGGGAUCACCUCAAAGAAGUCUCAGAUCAUCUCUCCACCAUCUGCUCUAUGACCCCUGGCUAAGUAUACACCACGACACAGCCACCACAUCAGGCACACCUCAGUCAGGUACCAUAUAAAACAAUAAUAAUAAUAAUAAAAAAAAAUCUAUAUUUUCAAUCUGUAGUUUAGAGAGUUCUCUAGUAGAGCUGGGCGAUUAAUCGAUUUUAUCGAUAAAUUCGAAUUUACAGUUAAGGACAAUGUGUUUUUAUGAAAAUCGAUUUUCUCUGAGUUUUCUUUUUCACCACAGACGCUCCUCUGUGGGCACAGAGUGAGCUUAGCUAGCUCCCUCCAUACCUCCCUCCCUCCAGCGCGCGCACCCCCCGCCCCUCCCUCACUCCCUCUCUCCCUUGCACGCACAAACACACACACAUACACAAAACACAUGACGGCGGAGCUUAAGAGCAACUAGCUCCGUGAUCUGGAGUUGGUUCGGUUUUGCGGCGUCGGACGUAGACCAAACAGGUCCUCGCUGUAAGGUGAACCAAUUUAUCACUAUACCUUAAACAGAAGCAUGUAGCGGAGUGGGAGAAGUGCUACUACCAUAGGAAUGAACGCAGCAGCAGCACCAGUUCACCAUUCAACGUUAAACAAGGAACUGUCCCUGGCACAUCUUCCAACCGUGUACCAGGUUUUGUAUGCACUACAAGUUAAGAUGUUUUGCAUAUUCAUGAGAAAAGAUCUCAUUUUAUAGAACACUGGCACUUAUUUAAAAGCUUUGUUUUGCAAUUCUAGCCCAAUAGGGAAAAGUAUUUACUUAAGAGCAUAUAAAUUGUACUUGUUUUCUAUUGUCUACUUUGUAAGUUUUAUCAAAAAAGGGCACCAUUUCAUUUAUUUCUAUUUGUUUUUAAGGGUGUGUGUUUUAUUUAUUUAUUUUUUAAGUUUGAGGGUGCAUUGUGUUAGUACCUAAACUAUGUUGGAGAAAGCUUUCUAAAAGUCACUAGAUGUUCUCACUGUUUACAAUAGUUUUUUUUUGCUUGUUUCUGGUUGCACUUUAACCACAAAUGGAACAUUUUAAGUGAAAACAAAUUAAAUAAGAACUGGUUUUUAACCAUUUCUUUAUCAUCUUUAGUUUGAUCUUUAGUAGGGGGAAAAAAUCGAUUUAAAUCGAAAAUUGGAUUUAAAAAAAAAAAAAUCUGAGUUUUUUUUUUUUCGGCCAUAUCGCCCAGCUCUAUACUCUAGUUUAGAGGUUUUUUUUUAUUUUAUAAAACACACCUAAGGAAAAUAGCAGGUAUUAAUAAAGCUAUUGAUUCCAUACUUUUAAAAAGGUAAUGAUUUUCUUUAACUAUAUAAAUGUUUUAAUCGUUUUGUGUAUUGUAUGCUUUUAAUUGCUUCCUGUUUUGUAUUUGUGUUCAUGUACUUAAGGCUUUAAUCCUUUUAUCUUGAUAUUGUUUAUCUUUUGAUGUUUAUUAAUUACUUAACUGUAUUUCUUUAUGUAGUAUACUGUUAGUGUUUUAAUCCAUACACUUUUUGUAUAUAUUUCUUUUAUUGCUUAGUUACUUGCUUUAUUAAUGGUUAUUGUAUUGGUGUUUUAGUCUUAUUUUGGGCUUAUAUUCAUUAAAAACAUUUUAACGUUUGUCUUUUAGUGCUUUAAUCAAUUAAUAUUGUACUUACCUUUUACUAUUUUACUAUUAAUCUUUCUGUACUUAAUUCUGAUAUUUAUACAUUAUUUUUUAUUUAAUUUUCUUUCAGCUUUGUAUUACAUUGUUUAUUAAUUGUAUGUCUUUAUACGGGAUUUUAUAUUUGCAUUGUAUAUAUUUUUGUUUCAUUUAAUGUUUAUGCUCUUUGUCUUUUUCAGAUUUUUACAUUUUUCAAUUUGUGUAUUGACCCAAGUAGUAUGGGUUCCUCUCAAGGUUUCUAUCUCUCUUUCUGAGAGAAUUUUCUUUGCCGCUGUCUCCUUUAUGCUUACUCAAAAGAGGUUUGGACACUUUUUUUUUUUUUUAACUGUUCUUAAUUUUGUUUGUUUCUUAACUUUGUCAAUAAAUGUUUUUUUAUUGCUA